UUCAUAAUCAAUUUAUUAAAUGAUCAUUGCUGCUUUUUUUCCCCUUCAUAUUUGUCAUCGCUGAAGCAGCAAUUGGUGUUUGAAACCUGUGCUGGUAUGUCAUCAAACGAGGUGCCAUUUCGAUCAAGCCAAGGUGGCCUGGCAGCCAGUCACCCAGAGCUGAGAGAAAACCAGAGCUCAAGCCCAGGCACAGAUAUGGGAUCAGCCAGGAGGGGGGCCAGACUUCUGGAUGAACUCACACUCUGUCUACUUCAUCAUCCACGUAAGGGAGUCCCUAUCAAAUUUGUUGAUCUCCUCAGACAAGCACAGCAGCCUGUGCCCUGAGGUCAAACUGAUGCUGCUCUAGGGUGACACAGGACACCGGGAGAGCUCCAAGACAACGCGCUUUCUUCCCAGGCUUACCAAGUGGCCAUUCAACAUUAGGCAAUGAACCCUGAAAAUACUGAAAUAAGGAAGACUGAC
Fukomys damarensis (Damara mole-rat) is the source of this 462-nucleotide long non-coding RNA. RefSeq lists it as uncharacterized. The transcript is spliced from 3 exons. NCBI's taxonomy places the organism in Eukaryota, Metazoa, Chordata, Mammalia, Rodentia, Bathyergidae. The record is from RefSeq and is a predicted model, not a curated record.